UUCGACUUCUCCUCCCUCUCAGUCUCCUUCCUCUUUCUCAUUGUUGCUCUCAGUCUCGUUCUCGUUCUCGGUCUCGUUCUCAGUCUCGUUCAAUUGGUACGUCUCAUUGUCUCGUUCCUCGCUCAAAUCAAGGUAAGUCUUUCUCGUUCUCUAAUAUGCUCUUUAUCUCGUGCAUGCGACUAACAUGGUGACGAUGCCAAACGCAGUUACUUGAAUCUGAUCUUCAGUAUCACAUGCUUCAAGCUGUUCUUAAUCAGGUAGGGUUUUUUGUUUUUAUUUUGAUUUUUUUAUUUAUUUUCGUUUUCAUUUUCGCUUCGUUUUUAUUUGAUUUUUGAUCGACGUUGAUCGUAGUGACUCUCACAUUUGAACCCUUGGAUUAAUGUUUUUUUCGUUGCUGUUUCGUUUUUAAUGAUUGAUUUUUGUUUGUUUUUCGUAUUGAACGGCUGAUAAUUUUGUUUUGAGCUAUUCUGUCGUUGAUUUGGUACAAAAUAUGUUGAUUCUGAUGUUGGUUAAUACAUCUAAAUACACUAAGUUAAUACAUGCUUAGUUCUACAUAGGGUGUGUUGUGUUUCUUUUCACUCUCUCUAACAUAAAUAAAUACCUCAUGCUAAUAAAUGUCAUGAAAAAACAAGGAUAGAUAUACAACCAAGAUACUAACAGUAAUUACAACAAAACAGUGCUUUAUAGAAAAUCUCGAUUUCCUAGAGUACGAAGGCAAGCAUAAUUUGAUCUUUUAAGAGAGCUCAAAACCAUCUCUCAGAGGUUGCUGCUUGGAAAACAAGAAGAAGGCAAUUCUUGAAGCUGAGAUGAAAAAAAAUAGAGGUAAUACUUGAUUUACCUGUUCAGUAUUUAGUUUAAUGUGAUGCCUUUCUUAUAUAUAAUACUUGAUCUAUCAUUUUUUCGAUCUUAUAAUGUCAUACUUGAUAUAUCAUUUUUUUGAUCUUAUAAUGUCAUACUUGAUCUAUUCUGUUUUGUCCUUUUAUUGUCUGAGCUGAGCCAGUUUUUUUUUUGUCAGUCCAUUGGUUUAAACAUGAUUUUGAUUGUGGUGAUUGAAGGAAUGGUGUGGGGAUGGGGGAAUAAGUAGAAAAGUGUGGAGUGAAUAAUAUAAUAGUUGGGUCGGUGCAAAGGAUAAAAUUCACUUCAUGUGUUGGAAAAUAAUUAUAAUGUUUCAGUGUCUUUUAGGAAGCAAAACUCUUUGUUUCCUUUUCUCCAUUCAGUGUGCAGUCACUGUACCAUGUGACCCUUCCUACAAUACCACAACAACACCCACAAAGCUAGUCAUAGCUAGAUCCCACUUUUGGUGCACAAUCACCUUGCUCUGUUUGGCUCCUUUUGGUUAAGGCUGCAACCAAAAUGUCCCUUCUCUAUUCUCUAAUUUUCUCAGUUCAUUCUUCACAACAAAAUCUAAUACUUGUAAACUAUCUACAUAUUUUAGAUAAAUGAUUACUUGCUCCACUGUCUUCUAAAUUAUAACAUGAGACUUUUCAAUGGUUGGGCUUUUUGCUAAAUGAUAUUGCUAAGCUAUCAAGACAUAGGAUUAUUAAUAAUGUGCAAUGUUUAUGUUAAGCAAAAGAGAAUGAAAGGGAUAUAAAAUAUGACCAAGAUGAACAUAUUUAAAUUAAAGGGCUGACACACAUUUACUCAACAUUAUUUAGCACAAUGACAUGAAGCUGUCUUCUAUUAUUCUUGUUGAAAAUCAAUAGAAAAUUGAUUAGGAGAUGAAAAAGAAGAUACAAUUUUACGUUUACAAGGGUUUCUAUUACUCUGGUCACGAGGGCUCCUUAAAUUUUUUGUCAUAGAAAGAUUAACAAAGAUUUUAUUAUAAGAAUUAAAGAACUAGAGAGAUUGAUUGAAAUGAAACAAGGAACCUGUACCUGCUUUGCUUAACUGUAUACUAUUCAACAACAAAAAUUAACAAUCUUAAUACAUGAUUGAUAAAAUUAACAGAAAAGAUAAUGGUCUACAUUAUAAAUAGAUAACUACAUCCAUCAUUUUUAAUUGGUCAAGGUAGAAUAUGUCCAGGUUGAUGUAUGUAGUGAGUAGUCAAUCUCAUUGUCUUAUAGAAUACUUGUUAGCCUAUUAUGUGUUAUUGGGCAACACAUAUCCUAUCCUCCACUGGUCUUUUCUUUUCAGUAUAAACAGAAACCGGGGAGGACCAGCUUUAUUAAACUAGUCAUUCCCAUUCUGAAUUAUAUAUAAGUGAAGCUCUAAUACUACAUCAAAAUCAAGAGUGAAUUAGGUUUAAAUCAAUUCUAAAAGUUAGUAUGAGUUAAUAAUCAAUCCCUUUGAUCUAGUUUCUGUAAAACGAACAUAAAUCAUCCUUGAUUAUAUCUUCUAUUUACUCUAGUAUUAAUAUUUAUUCAUAUCUUUGUAUGUGAUUGGGAUACAAGAUUUCUUUAUCACCAUCUCCCACCGUGUAUAAAAAUAAUUUUCCAGAUAUCAAUUUAUUUAGAAUAUAAACUUCUCUCUACCACAUUGGUUAGUUAUUUAUAUAUGUUUAUUCAAAUAUGUAAUAUGUUACUAUAUGUGUCUAGUAGACAAUGUACUAAUUUCUUAAUUUUAUACUUAAUUAGCAGGGUCUACUAGUAAAAGAAAAAGAGACCCUACCAAAUGUCUCAAGACUUAUGGUUUGAAAUAUGAAGAGCAUUUACCCGUUAAAUUUAGUGCUCUUGGCCAACCUGUUGGUACUUAUUGAGCACAUUGAGUAAUUAUCUGGGGACAUUAGCUAGGAAUGCACACCUAGCUCCUAUGACUUUCACUACUUGGAAAAGACUAGAAGAUCAUGCUGAAAACAUUCUUAGUACUUCACUAACCUUUUAUCUUCAACUAUAUGUAAUACUUAAAUUAUAAAAUUUAUAAUUGAUGAGAUGUAGUCCAAUGUUGUUAAACUCGAGGAUCGGAAAAAAAUAAAUAAAUUUGUUACUCGACUUGUAAGAGUAAGAAUAACAGUUAUUGGUUUAACCAAAAUAAUAUUCAAAUUACACACAACUAAAAGUAGGUUGAUAAUUCAUAAAAAUGCAUUAAACAACUAAUAAACUAUCCUAUGUAAUCCUUCCUAUUAUCUAACCUUCAGUGCUUCCUUCAUUAUAAAACAAGGUAGAAAACAGAGAGGAACAAAGAAGAACAAUGGGUAGUGAGAGUGAACAACAACGAGCGACAGCAGUGGCGAGUGCAAGCAUUAGAGAGCGGAGAACGACGACAAGUGUGAGAACAAACAGUGUUGCGAACGUGAAUGGUGGCAAGUGUGGUGGCGAGCGAUGGUUGUGGGUUUGUUUCGGGAGUUGGUUUUUUGGGGUUCUUUCUGACUUGAUUACUAACCCUAGCAGAAAAGGGGACAAGUAGGAGGAUUUAGACGGUCCAACAAUCCUCUGAUUCACCGAGCAACACGCCUACUCGCUCCUAUCUGCUAUCGCUCUUAUUUUUCGUUCGAGUCGCCUCGCCUUUUCCUCCAAACUCAUUGAAUCGUAUGAGUUAAACUUGCGAUCUUAACAACAUUGCUCUACAUCACUGACCUCCAUUGCUAGUGUUAUCCAAUCACCCACAUGCUAUUUAGACUAACUUAUGCUAAGCUAUAAAUCAUUUUAUCACUAAACUUUUGAUACCUAUCAUGCAUACCGUAGCCCUAGAUGCAACAACUUGUGAAUAAGUGUGUCUUGCAGUCUCCUUUUGUAGUCUCUACAUAAAUGACCUCCAUUGCCAAUGUUAACCAAUCAUGCAAAAGCUAUGUAAGUUAACUUAGGCUAAACUUAAAAUUGUCACAACCCUCUUGCGAGCUCUAAGAGCCUUCAGGAGAUUGGUGCCUCUUAGGUUAACUAUAAGAAGGGGUAACUCUUAUUAAAGUAUUAGUCAUAUAUAUUAAUAACUAGAAUGAAGUUAAAGUACAAAGUUGGUUCAACAUAUUAAACUAAAAUAAUAUGGAGAAAAUGCAUUCCAAACACUAAUAAUUGAUAAUUAGAAACACAAUUAAUUCAUUGACACAUUAACUUGUUAGAUGAAUUUAGUUUGAAAAUCUCUUUUGAUUAAUUUCCAUAUAUUAUACAUUUAAAUUUUGGUAUGGUAUUUAUCGAUUUCCUACUCUUUUUUUACUCAUUCUAUCCCCAUUCAUCGUGUACACUAAAUGACUUUUGUCUUUGAAAUGAGGAAAAAGGGAAAAAAGCAGUUCAUUUAGUUCCCAUUACUGACCUUGAAGAAUAUGCGUAUGAGGCAAAACAGGAGAGAACUAUUUAUGCAUGUCAACACCAUUAAUUUCAUGUAAUUCUUAUGAUAACAAUUAGGAAUGCUAUGAUCUUUAGAUCAAUGUUGGAGCAUUGUAUAUACUUGAUCCUGCCUGUUGACCAGAACGCUGGAGCUUUGCCUCGUCAAACUUGUAUCGACUUCUGCGCCGCGUCAACCUCCGUCUUUCACCGUGAUUCACCUCAAGAACCUGCAAAAGAACAGAACGGCGCCGCUGCGGCCGAUCACGCUCCGACGCCCAAGUCAGCGACUGAACCACCAAUUACUAAGAGUAAAACUUAAGAACUCUGAAGGAACCGUGCAAUGUUCUCUCCCAGUAUACUCAAGACUCGCAAGCGUAAAGAAGACAAUCUGAACGUGCAUACCUCAGAAGUUCGUUGGAAACUCUUAUAUACCUGGAUACUUUCUCUCUCCUGGCAGUUACACAUCUAGACACGUGGCUCGCAUCCAGUUGUACACGUGCCAUCAUCUGGAGCAUCCUUGACUUGGGCGCUACUUCCGACUCUUCUUUGGCUAAGUUACUUAUUCAUGAUACUACUCAGUGCAUAGUCGCCUUGGAGCGUGAUCUCUUCUGGAUGGCGAGUUCGGGUGCCUUCGUACGCACCUUCCCUGUGGUCUCGCCGGCCGCCUUCAUGAUCUGCACCACCUGUUUCACCGUAUAUGCUCAAGUAAGCUGUCCCCUGACCUCAUCCUCUGGCCAGCUGGGAAAUGUCUAUCUGCCUUCACCUUUGGCGAUGUCCUUGUUUCGGCGAUCUCUAAUCACUUGGUCGCCUGGGUUUACAUCUGGCGACUUCAUCUUUAACCCGGUGACCGCCGGUUCUGGUGUGCUGGAGAUCGGAGCACGCCAACUUAAUAACUGGCGACUACACGAGCCCCCCGACUUCCUUCCCUUCUGCCAGCCAGGCGUCCUAUCAACACGCCUAUACAAUAGCUUGAUGCCACGUCAUUAUUUCCGACUACCAGGGCGGUACACAAGUCCCCCAGUCUUAAGCGAAGACUUGUCCAGCGAAAAGACUAAAGGAGUCACGUCAAUACCGAUCUACGUGGCGCUGACGCAGAAUUCCAAACGUUUGUACUUUCUGCUUUCCUGACGCUCCACCAAACACUCCUCCAAUCGCUCGACACGUGGCUUCAUCAACGGUUACCCUUAAUUGUCGUUUGCGCUUCCAAAACCCAUUCGAAAAACCCUUAAACCCAUUUCACUUCUACUGUUCCAUCACUUCUUUGCUUUCUCAAACGCUUCAAGCUUCUUCUGCAAAAACUCACGACGCUCUGCAACCUCCUGAAUCCUCAACUUCCUUCAUCGUUCUUCCGAUCAUAAAAAGGUACUCCCUUUACUUCUUCUGCUGAUUUUUCCUGCAUUUUAACCGAUUCGCAUCAUCCAUUAACUAUCUGGUGCAUACGCUGUGGGCUGUUUCUUCUAUUUCUCCUUUCUCGUAACUUAGGGCUUCGUCUUCGUUACAACGAACCUUCGUUCGUUCGUUUUUCACCCUUUUUUCACGAUCGAGUCAGCCUCUGCGGACCCUGAUCACCUUUCCUUUUCUUUUUCCUUUGCAGUUUCCGNNNNNNNNNNNNNNNNNNNNNNNNNNNNNNNNNNNNNNNNNNNNNNNNNNNNNNNNNNNNNNNNNNNNNNNNNNNNNNNNNNNNNNNNNNNNNNNNNNNNNNNNNNNNNNAGGCCUGCAACCUCCACCUACCUGGCUCAGGCUACUCCCCUAGUCGCCGGAGGAGCCUCCAUUCCUUCCCCAGACUUCAAAAAGCUAUACCCCUGGGCCAGCUCGGCACUGCUGAAAGAAACGUCCUCGAUAAACUCCGAAACGGCGGUACUCCGACUAAGGAAAGGGGAUCAGUCGGAUCUUUCCUUUCACAAGGAGCAUGACAACAAGGUGACCGUGCUGCCUUGCCACCCUGAGGAGCCGAUUUGUGCUGACGACAAAGUGAGCGGUGGCGAGUCGUUCUGCUUCCUCUACACAACGUUAUUCAAGAAGGUGAAGCUCCGACUUCCCUUCACCCGUUUCGAGCGAGAGCUGCUAACCGAGCUCGAUAUCGCCCCCGCCCAGCUUCAUCCCAACAGCUGGGCGUUCGUAAGGGCGUUCCAGAUCAUGUGCGACCAUCUGGGGCUGCCAGCGUCAGUGGACGUUUUUCUUUUUCUUUUUAAAGCCAAACACCCGGGAGAUCGCUUGUGGGUGAGUCUGAACGGAAUUGCUGGGAGGUCGAUCCUCUUUAUCUUCCAGCAAUCCUACAAGGAUUGGAAGGGCAAAUUUGUCCAAGUACGCCAAAACGACCAGGAUGCCUCGAUGCUCGACGGGUUUCCCUUGUACUGGGUAAACAAGGGAAACAAAGACGCCAAGGGAAGCUUCAGGAUGCCAAGAAGUCCUGACAGCAUGGGUGCUUUGGACAAGGAUUUGUGCCUCUUCUGGAAGAGCGUGGCAGGCGCCAAUAUCACCUUCCUCACCACUGCGCUUAUCUCCUUCGAGUUCUUCGAAGAUCAACUCGAAGUUCGCAUAGGUUAGAGCUCACAUCAGUGUCUAAGUCAUUACACUUGACGUUACUUCUGCUAAUUGUUUCUGGGCGUCUUGUCUGUUGUGCACAAGACUUUGGUUUUAUUUUCUGCACCACUUAUCUGCUUUUGUUGCAUACUGACUUAUGUGUUUAUCCUUCUCUCUGAGCUAACCCAUGUAUCUUUGUAUUAUGCAGAUCGUAUGUUGGGCAAGGGAAAACUGGCUGAACUGAGGGCGCUCGCCCGAGCCCAUGGGUUGGCGUCGGGUUCCC
This 7002-nucleotide long non-coding RNA is filed under the name Phaseolus vulgaris (common bean). RNAcentral describes it as "long non-coding RNA (PVUL_LNC003556)". Lineage: Eukaryota; Viridiplantae; Streptophyta; Magnoliopsida; Fabales; Fabaceae. The record is from RNAcentral.